AUAAUAAUAAUAAUAAUAAUAGUGUCUGAAUAGUACAAUUGAUAUGAUCAACCAACUGUUUUGUCUGUUCUUAGCAUGGGAAAUUGUUUACUUUUUCUUCACAUUUGAAUUCUUGAUUAUCAAACUCAUAGGUGAUAACUUUGGGAUUGUGUAAUCAAUCUUCCUGAAGUAUACUUUGUUCAAGCUGUAAAUUUCUCCAUUAACUACUUGUUCAAAAUGUCAAUCUUUGUAUCCUUGACUGACAGCCGUUGGAGUUUCGGACAUUAACUGUUGUUCAGGAUCACCAAGUAGGUAAAGUAGAUAAUGGUGGAAUAAAGCACUGUAGAUGUUGAAGAUGGGGUUCAUCUAAUGAGGGAUAAUCUACUUACUCUAUUUAUUUUAAAGUGCUAUCUCCUCUUCUUUUGAUCAAAUUCAUUGUUGCAUGUUUUAGUCUAUCAUGAAAUAAAAAUAAAAUAAAAUUAUUUUCGUUAUCACAUUGUUUUUUCAA
Molecule: unclassified non-coding RNA, 487 nt
Filed under: Hevea brasiliensis (rubber tree)
Lineage: Eukaryota; Viridiplantae; Streptophyta; Magnoliopsida; Malpighiales; Euphorbiaceae
Source: RNAcentral